This 2883-nucleotide ribosomal RNA is filed under the name Klebsiella pneumoniae. RNAcentral's name for it is "23S ribosomal RNA". It matches the Rfam family "Bacterial large subunit ribosomal RNA". Lineage: Bacteria; Pseudomonadati; Pseudomonadota; Gammaproteobacteria; Enterobacterales; Enterobacteriaceae. The record is from RNAcentral.
UUAAGCGACUAAGCGUACACGGUGGAUGCCCUGGCAGUCAGAGGCGAUGAAGGACGUGCUAAUCUGCGAAAAGCGUCGGUAAGGUGAUAUGAACCGUUAUAACCGGCGAUGUCCGAAUGGGGAAACCCAGUGNCACUAUCGUUAACUGAAUACAUAGGUUAACGAGGCGAACCGGGGGAACUGAAACAUCUAAGUACCCCGAGGAAAAGAAAUCAACCGAGAUUCCCCCAGUAGCGGCGAGCGAACGGGGAGCAGCCCAGAGUCUGAAUCAGCUUGUGUGUUAGUGGAACGGUCUGGAAAGUCCGACGGUACAGGGUGAUAGUCCCGUACACCAAAAUGCACAGGCUGUGAACUCGAAGAGUAGGGCGGGACACGUGGUAUCCUGUCUGAAUAUGGGGGGACCAUCCUCCAAGGCUAAAUACUCCUGACUGACCGAUAGUGAACCAGUACCGUGAGGGAAAGGCGAAAAGAACCCCGGCGAGGGGAGUGAAAAAGAACCUGAAACCGUGUACGUACAAGCAGUGGGAGCACCUUCGGGUGUGACUGCGUACCUUUUGUAUAAUGGGUCAGCGACUUAUAUUCUGUAGCAAGGUUAACCGUAUAGGGGAGCCGCAGGGAAACCGAGUCUUAACUGGGCGUUAAGUUGCAGGGUAUAGACCCGAAACCCGGUGAUCUAGCCAUGGGCAGGUUGAAGGUUGGGUAACACUAACUGGAGGACCGAACCGACUAAUGUUGAAAAAUUAGCGGAUGACUUGUGGCUGGGGGUGAAAGGCCAAUCAAACCGGGAGAUAGCUGGUUCUCCCCGAAAGCUAUUUAGGUAGCGCCUCGUGAAUUCAUCUUCGGGGGUAGAGCACUGUUUCGGCUAGGGGGUCAUCCCGACUUACCAACCCGAUGCAAACUACGAAUACCGAAGAAUGUUAUCACGGGAGACACACGGCGGGUGCUAACGUCCGUCGUGAAGAGGGAAACAACCCAGACCGCCAGCUAAGGUCCCAAAGUCAUGGUUAAGUGGGAAACGAUGUGGGAAGGCACAGACAGCCAGGAUGUUGGCUUAGAAGCAGCCAUCAUUUAAAGAAAGCGUAAUAGCUCACUGGUCGAGUCGGCCUGCGCGGAAGAUGUAACGGGGCUAAACCAUGCACCGAAGCUGCGGCAGCGACACUAUGUGUUGUUGGGUAGGGGAGCGUUCUGUAAGCCUGCGAAGGUGUGCUGUGAGGCAUGCUGGAGGUAUCAGAAGUGCGAAUGCUGACAUAAGUAACGAUAAAGCGGGUGAAAAGCCCGCUCGCCGGAAGACCAAGGGUUCCUGUCCAACGUUAAUCGGGGCAGGGUGAGUCGACCCCUAAGGCGAGGCCGAAAGGCGUAGUCGAUGGGAAACAGGUUAAUAUUCCUGUACUUGGUGUUACUGCGAAGGGGGGACGGAGAAGGCUAUGUUAGCCGGGCGACGGUUGUCCCGGUUUAAGCAUGUAGGCUGGUUGUCCAGGCAAAUCCGGAUAAUCAAGGCUGAGGUGUGAUGACGAGGCACUACGGUGCUGAAGUAACAAAUGCCCUGCUUCCAGGAAAAGCCUCUAAGCAUCAGGUAACAUCAAAUCGUACCCCAAACCGACACAGGUGGUCAGGUAGAGAAUACCAAGGCGCUUGAGAGAACUCGGGUGAAGGAACUAGGCAAAAUGGUGCCGUAACUUCGGGAGAAGGCACGCUGGUGUGUAGGUGAAGUCCCUGCGGAUGGAGCUGAGACCAGUCGAAGAUACCAGCUGGCUGCAACUGUUUAUUAAAAACACAGCACUGUGCAAACACGAAAGUGGACGUAUACGGUGUGACGCCUGCCCGGUGCCGGAAGGUUAAUUGAUGGGGUUAUCCGUAAGGAGAAGCUCUUGAUCGAAGCCCCGGUAAACGGCGGCCGUAACUAUAACGGUCCUAAGGUAGCGAAAUUCCUUGUCGGGUAAGUUCCGACCUGCACGAAUGGCGUAAUGAUGGCCAGGCUGUCUCCACCCGAGACUCAGUGAAAUUGAACUCGCUGUGAAGAUGCAGUGUACCCGCGGCAAGACGGAAAGACCCCGUGAACCUUUACUAUAGCUUGACACUGAACAUUGAGCCUUGAUGUGUAGGAUAGGUGGGAGGCUUUGAAGCGUGGACGCCAGUCUGCGUGGAGCCAACCUUGAAAUACCACCCUUUAAUGUUUGAUGUUCUAACGUUGGCCCCUUACCGGGGUUGCGGACAGUGUCUGGUGGGUAGUUUGACUGGGGCGGUCUCCUCCCAAAGCGUAACGGAGGAGCACGAAGGUUAGCUAAUCCUGGUCGGACAUCAGGAGGUUAGUGCAAUGGCAUAAGCUAGCUUGACUGCGAGCGUGACGGCGCGAGCAGGUGCGAAAGCAGGUCAUAGUGAUCCGGUGGUUCUGAAUGGAAGGGCCAUCGCUCAACGGAUAAAAGGUACUCCGGGGAUAACAGGCUGAUACCGCCCAAGAGUUCAUAUCGACGGCGGUGUUUGGCACCUCGAUGUCGGCUCAUCACAUCCUGGGGCUGAAGUAGGUCCCAAGGGUAUGGCUGUUCGCCAUUUAAAGUGGUACGCGAGCUGGGUUUAGAACGUCGUGAGACAGUUCGGUCCCUAUCUGCCGUGGGCGCUGGAGAAUUGAGGGGGGCUGCUCCUAGUACGAGAGGACCGGAGUGGACGCAUCACUGGUGUUCGGGUUGUCAUGCCAAUGGCACUGCCCGGUAGCUAAAUGCGGAAGAGAUAAGUGCUGAAAGCAUCUAAGCACGAAACUUGCCCCGAGAUGAGUUCUCCCUGAGACUUUAAGUCUCCUGAAGGAACGUUNGACGUUGAUAGGCCGGGUGUGUAAGCGCAGCGAUGCGUUGAGCUAACCGGUACUAAUGAACCGUGAGGCUUAACCUU